UUAAGCAUAUCAAUAAGCGGAGGAAAAGAAACCAACCGGGAUUGCCUCAGUAACGGCGAGUGAAGCGGCAAGAGCUCAAAUUUGAAAUCUGGCCCCCUCGGGGUCCGAGUUGUAAUUUGCAGAGGAUGCUUCGGGUGCGGUCCCCAUCUAAGUGCCCUGGAACGGGCCGUCAUAGAGGGUGAGAAUCCCGUCUGGGAUGGGCGGCCGCGCCCGUGUGAAGCUCCUUCGACGAGUCGAGUUGUUUGGGAAUGCAGCUCUAAGCGGGUGGUAAAUUUCAUCUAAAGCUAAAUACUGGCCGGAGACCGAUAGCGCACAAGUAGAGUGAUCGAAAGAUGAAAAGCACUUUGAAAAGAGAGUUAAACAGCACGUGAAAUUGUUGAAAGGGAAGCGUUGUCCACCAGACUCGCCCGGGGGGGUUCAGCCGGCACGUGUGCCGGUGUACUCCUCUCCGGGCGGGCCAGCAUCGGUUUGGGCGGCUGGUGAAAGGCCCCGGGAAUGUACCACCCUCCGGGGUGUCUUAUAGCCCGGGGUGCCAUACAGCCAGCCUGGACCG
RNAcentral lists this ribosomal RNA (553 nucleotides) under Talaromyces verruculosus. RNAcentral's name for it is "eukaryotic LSU rRNA". It matches the Rfam family "Eukaryotic large subunit ribosomal RNA", at positions 34 to 591 of the family's 3401-position model. Lineage: Eukaryota; Fungi; Ascomycota; Eurotiomycetes; Eurotiales; Trichocomaceae. The record is from RNAcentral.